GGCCCUCUAGCCCAAUUGGCAGCAGGCAACCCAUUUAAGCUGGGUAAAGUGUCGGUUCGAAUCCGACGAGGGCCA
RNAcentral lists this transfer RNA (75 nucleotides) under Deltaproteobacteria bacterium. RNAcentral's name for it is "tRNA-Leu". It matches the Rfam family "tRNA". From Rfam's summary of the family: Transfer RNA (tRNA) molecules are approximately 80 nucleotides in length. Their secondary structure includes four short double-helical elements and three loops (D, anti-codon, and T loops). The record is from RNAcentral. Lineage: Bacteria; Pseudomonadati; Myxococcota; Myxococcia.